Molecule: long non-coding RNA, 1008 nt
Filed under: Homo sapiens (human)
Lineage: Eukaryota; Metazoa; Chordata; Mammalia; Primates; Hominidae
Description: ZNFX1 antisense RNA 1 (ZFAS1)
Rfam family: ZNFX1 antisense RNA 1 conserved region 1 (bases 250-447)
Source: RNAcentral
CGGGGGCCCAGGGUGGAGAGCACGAGGGCCUGGCCCAGGCACGGCCGGCGCCUCCGCCCUCGAGGAGGGCGUCACCUCAGCUCCCCCCGGCGGCGGAGCCGGCGGGCUCAGGCGGGCGCGGCUGAGGGGAGCGGACCGCGGGGGGCGGGAGAUGACUGCGCCCAAGGCCUUUGCGGGCCUCAGCCGGCCCCAGAGGAAGGGGAACCCGUCGAGCGGUUUGGUGCGUGUGAAGCGCGACAUGGCGAGGAAGCGGACAAGCCCGGGUGGCCCGGCGUGUAGAGGGAAGGGGGCGGGGCUAGACGCGGCCUGGACAACUACUAGAGCGCCUCGGGCUGUGCUGCUCGAGACUACAUUUCCCAGAGCGACGCGCGCGGAGCGGGCGGGAAAGAGAGCGUUUCGGGUCCAGUGCGCAGGUGCGAAAGCCAUCUUUGGUUAUAUAAGGGAGGUUCAGGAAGCCAUUCGUUCUUUCGCGUCUGCGGUGCCCGGAGUGUGGUACUUCUCCUAGUUGCAGUCAGGCUUCAUACGCUAUUGUCCUGCCCGUUAGAGCAGCCAGCGGGUACAGAAUGGAUUUUGGAAGAGGGAGUCACCACUGGACCUCCAAGGAAGCCACGUGCAGACAUCUACAACCUUCGAUCUCCUGACGAGUUUAUUGUUGGCCAAAACCAGGCUUUGAUUGAACCAGGAUGAAUGCGGGUGUUGGAAGUAGAAUAUAUAUAUACAUAUAAAAUUGGUUGGGAGCCACGUGUACCAGUGUGUGUUGAUCUUGGCUUGAUUCAGUCUGCCUUGUAACAGAAACUGGCGAUGGAAUAUGAGAGGAGCCCUCUGGAAAGAAAAGGACAGACCCUGUGCUUUCAUGAAAGUGAAGAUCUGGCUGAACCAGUUCCACAAGGUUACUGUAUACAUAGCCUGAGUUUAAAAGGCUGUGCCCACUUCAAGAAUGUCAUUGUUAGACUUUGAAAUUUCUAACUGCCUACCUGCAUAAAGAAAAUAAAAUCUUUUAAAUCAAAA